AACGAUUCCGAUUUAUCGGAAUAGUGGCAAACGGGUGAGUAACACGUAAGUAACCUGCCCCUAAGUAAGGAUAACUCUGAGAAAUUGGAGCUAAUACUGUAUGUGGUCCUUCAUUGCAAGGUGAAGGACUAAAGCCUACGGGCGCUUGGGGAGGGGCUUGCGUCCGAUUAGCUAGUUGGUAAGGUAAUGGCCUACCAAGGCAAUGAUCGGUAGCUGGUUUAAGAGGACGGUCAGCCACACUGGGACUGAGACACGGCCCAGACUCCUACGGGAGGCAGCAGCAAGGAAUAUUGUGCAAUGGGCGAAAGCCUGACACAGUGACACCGCGUGGGGGAUGAAGGCCUUCGGGUCGUAAACCCCUUUUCCCAGAGAAGAAAAAUGACGGUACCUGGGGAAUAAGUCUUGGCUAACUACGUGCCAGCAGCCGCGGUAAGACGUAGAAGGCAAGCGUUAUCCGGAUUUAUUGGGCGUAAAGAGGGUGUAGGCGGUUCUUCAAGUCGGAUGUAAAAUCUCCCGGCUCAACUGGGAGGGAUCAUUCGAUACUGCUGGGCUAGAGUGCAGCAGGGGGAGAUGGAAUUCCCGGUGUAGUGGUGAAAUGCGUAGAUAUCGGGAGGAACACCAGUGGCGAAGGCGGUCUCCUGGGCUGUUACUGACGCUGAGACCCGAAAGCGUGGGGAGCGAACAGGAUUAGAUACCCUGGUAGUCCACGCAGUAAACGAUGGACACUAGGUAUGGGGGGUAUCGACCCCCUC
Molecule: ribosomal RNA, 752 nt
Filed under: uncultured Chloroflexota bacterium
Lineage: Bacteria; Bacillati; Chloroflexota
Description: bacterial SSU rRNA
Rfam family: Bacterial small subunit ribosomal RNA
Source: RNAcentral